Molecule: ribosomal RNA, 440 nt
Filed under: uncultured bacterium
Lineage: Bacteria
Description: partial 16S ribosomal RNA
Rfam family: Bacterial small subunit ribosomal RNA
Source: RNAcentral
CCUACGGGCGGCAGCAGUGGGGAAUAUUGGACAAUGGGGGAAACCCUGAUGCAGCGACGCCGCGUGAGUGAAGAAGGAUUUCGGUAUGUAAAGCUCUAUCAGCAGGGAAGAAAAUGACGGUACCGGAUUAAGAAGCCCCGGCUAACUACGUGCCAGCAGCCGCGGUAAUACGUCGGGGGAAAGCGUUAUCCGGAAUUACUGGGUGUAAAGGGAGCGGAGACGGCAGCACAAGUCUGGAGUGAAAUGCCGGAGCUUAACCCCGGGACAGCUUUGGAAACUGUGCAGCUAGAGUGCAGGAGAGGUAAGUGGAAUUCCUAGUGUAGCGGUGAAAUGCGUAGAUAUUAGGAGGAACACCAGUGGCGAAGGCGACUUACUGGACUGUAACUGACGUUGAGGCUCGAAAGCGUGGGGAGCAAACAGGAUUAGAUACCCUUGUAGUC